AUUGAACGCUGGCGGCAGGCUUAACACAUGCAAGUCGAGCGCGCGGCGGACGGGUGAGUAAUGUCUGGGACACUGCCUGAUGGAGGGGGAUAACUACUGGAAACGGUAGCUAAUACCGCAUACCAUCAGAUGUGCCCAGAUGGGAUUAGCUAGUCGGUGGGGUAAUGGCUCACCUAGGCGACGAUCCCUAGCUGGGCUGAGAGGAUGACCAGCCAAACGGGAACGGAGACACGGUCCAGACUCCUACGGGAGGCAGCAGUGGGGAAUAUUGCACAAGGGGCGCAAGCCUGAUGCAGCCAUGCCGCGUGUGUGAAGAAGGCUUUCGGGUUGUAAAGCACUGUCAGCGAGGAGGCGUUACUCGCAGAAGAAGCAACGGCUAACUCCGUGCCAGCAGCCGCGGUAAUUC
This 406-nucleotide ribosomal RNA is filed under the name uncultured bacterium. RNAcentral's name for it is "partial 16S ribosomal RNA". It matches the Rfam family "Bacterial small subunit ribosomal RNA", at positions 30 to 526 of the family's 1533-position model. The record is from RNAcentral.